CACGUAGGGGGCAAGCGUUGUCCGGAAUCAUUGGGCGUAAAGCGCGUGUAGGCGGUCCGGUAAGUCCGCUGUGAAAGUCGGGGGCUCAACCCUCGGAUGCCGGUGGAUACUGUCGGGCUUGAGUACGGAAGAGGCGAGUGGAAUUCCUGGUGUAGCGGUGAAAUGCGCAGAUAUCAGGAGGAACACCAAUUGCGAAGGCAGCUCGCUGGGACGUUACUGACGCUGAGACGCGAAAGCGUGGGGAGCAAACAGG
This 253-nucleotide ribosomal RNA is filed under the name uncultured bacterium. RNAcentral's name for it is "partial 16S ribosomal RNA". It matches the Rfam family "Bacterial small subunit ribosomal RNA", at positions 524 to 776 of the family's 1533-position model. The record is from RNAcentral.